Molecule: ribosomal RNA, 253 nt
Filed under: uncultured bacterium
Lineage: Bacteria
Description: partial 16S ribosomal RNA
Rfam family: Bacterial small subunit ribosomal RNA
Source: RNAcentral
GACAGAGGGUGCAAACGUUGCUCGGAAUUACUGGGCGUAAAGGGCGCGUAGGCGGGAUGGCAAGUCGGUCGUGAAAUCCUUCGGCCCAACCGAAGAACGUCGGCCGAUACUGCCGUUCUUGAGGGAUGCAGAGGAGACUGGAAUUCCCGGUGUAGCGGUGAAAUGUGUAGAGAUCGGGAGGAACACCGGUGGCGAAGGCGGGUCUCUGGGCAUUUCCUGACGCUGAGGCGCGAAAGCGUGGGGAGCAAACGGG